GAUGAACGCUGGCGGCGUGCCUAAUACAUGCAAGUCGAGCGAACAGACGAGGAGCUUGCUCCUCUGACGUUAGCGGCGGACGGGUGAGUAACACGUGGAUAACCUACCUAUAAGACUGGGAUAACUUCGGGAAACCGGAGCUAAUACCGGAUAAUAUAUUGAACCGCAUGGUUCAAUAGUGGAAGACGGUUUUGCUGUCACUUAUAGAUGGAUCCGCGCCGCAUUAGCCAGUUGGUAAGGUAACGGCUUACCAAGGCAACGAUGCGUAGCCGACCUGAGAGGGUGAUCGGCCACACUGGAACUGAGACACGGUCCAGACUCCUACGGGAGGCAGCAGUAGGGAAUCUUCCGCAAUGGGCGAAAGCCUGACGGAGCAACGCCGCGUGAGUGAUGAAGGUCUUCGGAUCGUAAAACUCUGUUAUUAGGGAAGAACAAAUGUGUAAGUAACUAUGCACGUCUUGACGGUACCUAAUCAGAAAGCCACGGCUAACUACGUG
This 497-nucleotide ribosomal RNA is filed under the name uncultured bacterium. RNAcentral describes it as "partial 16S ribosomal RNA". It matches the Rfam family "Bacterial small subunit ribosomal RNA", at positions 28 to 507 of the family's 1533-position model. The record is from RNAcentral.